RNAcentral lists this ribosomal RNA (253 nucleotides) under uncultured bacterium. RNAcentral describes it as "partial 16S ribosomal RNA". It matches the Rfam family "Bacterial small subunit ribosomal RNA", at positions 524 to 776 of the family's 1533-position model. The record is from RNAcentral.
UACGUAGGGUGCAAGCGUUGUCCGGAAUUAUUGGGCGUAAAGAGCUCGUAGGCGGUCUGUCGCGUCUGCUGUGAAAACUCGGGGCUUAACCCCGGGCCUGCAGUGGGUACGGGCAGACUAGAGUGCGGUAGGGGAGACUGGAAUUCCUGGUGUAGCGGUGGAAUGCGCAGAUAUCAGGAGGAACACCAAUAGCGAAGGCAGCUCGCUGGGACGUUACUGACACUGAGGCGCGAAAGCGUGGGGAGCGAACAGG